GACGAACGCUGGCGGCGUGCCUAAUACAUGCAAGUCGAGCGGACUUUCAAGAAGCUUGCUUUUUGAAAGUUAGCGGCGGACGGGUGAGUAACACGUGGCAACCUGCCUGUAAGACGGGGAUAACUCCGGGAAACCGGGGCUAAUACCGGAUAAUAUCUUUCUUCGCAUGAAGGAAGGUUGAAAGGCGGCGCAAGCUGCCGCUUGCAGAUGGGCCCGCGGCGCAUUAGCUAGUUGGUGAGGUAACGGCUCACCAAGGCGACGAUGCGUAGCCGACCUGAGAGGGUGAUCGGCCAAACUGGGACUGAGACACGGCCCAGACUCCUACGGGAGGCAGCAGUAGGGAAUCUUCCGCAAUGGACGAAAGUCUGACGGAGCAACGCCGCGUGAGCGAAGAAGGUCUUCGGAUCGUAAAGCUCUGUUGUCAGGGAAGAACAAGUACCGUUCGAAUAGGGCGGUACCUUGACGGUACCUGACCAGAAAGCCACGGCUAACUACGUGCCAGCAGCCGCCGUAA
Molecule: ribosomal RNA, 514 nt
Filed under: uncultured bacterium
Lineage: Bacteria
Description: partial 16S ribosomal RNA
Rfam family: Bacterial small subunit ribosomal RNA
Source: RNAcentral